GUGGGUAUAGCUCAGUGGUACAGCAUGUGCUUAGGUUCAAUCCUGGGUUCAAUCCCCAGUACCUCCG
RNAcentral lists this transfer RNA (67 nucleotides) under Camelus bactrianus (Bactrian camel). It matches the Rfam family "tRNA". Rfam says of the family: Transfer RNA (tRNA) molecules are approximately 80 nucleotides in length. Their secondary structure includes four short double-helical elements and three loops (D, anti-codon, and T loops). Further hydrogen bonds mediate the characteristic L-shaped molecular structure. tRNAs have two regions of fundamental functional importance: the anti-codon, which is responsible for specific mRNA codon recognition, and the 3' end, to which the tRNAs corresponding amino acid is attached (by aminoacyl-tRNA synthetases). tRNAs cope with the degeneracy of the genetic code in two manners: having more than one tRNA (with a specific anti-codon) for a particular amino acid; and 'wobble' base-pairing, i.e. permitting non-standard base-pairing at the 3rd anti-codon position. The record is from Rfam by way of RNAcentral. Lineage: Eukaryota; Metazoa; Chordata; Mammalia; Artiodactyla; Camelidae. RNAcentral also lists the same sequence under 1 other name.